This 1210-nucleotide ribosomal RNA is filed under the name Isoptericola sp. Its description in RNAcentral is "bacterial SSU rRNA". It matches the Rfam family "Bacterial small subunit ribosomal RNA", at positions 56 to 1243 of the family's 1533-position model. Lineage: Bacteria; Bacillati; Actinomycetota; Actinomycetes; Micrococcales; Promicromonosporaceae. The record is from RNAcentral.
UGCAAGUCGAACGGUGAAGCCCAGCUUGCUGGGUGGAUCAGUGGCGAACGGGUGAGUAACACGUGAGCAACCUGCCCUCCACUUCGGGAUAAGCCUUGGAAACGGGGUCUAAUACCGGAUAUGAGCGCCUGCCGCAUGGUGGGUGUUGGAAAGUUUUUCGGUGGGGGAUGGGCUCGCGGCCUAUCAGCUUGUUGGUGGGGUGAUGGCCUACCAAGGCGUCGACGGGUAGCCGGCCUGAGAGGGCGACCGGCCACACUGGGACUGAGACACGGCCCAGACUCCUACGGGAGGCAGCAGUGGGGAAUAUUGCACAAUGGGCGAAAGCCUGAUGCAGCGACGCCGCGUGAGGGAUGACGGCCUUCGGGUUGUAAACCUCUUUCAGCAGGGAAGAAGGCCUUCGGGUGGACGGUACCUGCAGAAGAAGCGCCGGCUAACUACGUGCCAGCAGCCGCGGUAAUACGUAGGGCGCAAGCGUUGUCCGGAAUUAUUGGGCGUAAAGAGCUCGUAGGCGGUUUGUCGCGUCUGGUGUGAAAACCUCAGGCUCAACCUGGGGCGUGCAUCGGGUACGGGCAGACUAGAGUGCGGUAGGGGAGACUGGAAUUCCUGGUGUAGCGGUGGAAUGCGCAGAUAUCAGGAGGAACACCGAUGGCGAAGGCAGGUCUCUGGGCCGCAACUGACGCUGAGGAGCGAAAGCAUGGGGAGCGAACAGGAUUAGAUACCCUGGUAGUCCAUGCCGUAAACGUUGGGCACUAGGUGUGGGGCUCAUUCCACGAGUUCCGUGCCGCAGCUAACGCAUUAAGUGCCCCGCCUGGGGAGUACGGCCGCAAGGCUAAAACUCAAAGGAAUUGACGGGGGGCCCGCACAAGCGGCCGGAGCAUGCCGAAUUAAUUCGAUGCAACGCGAAAAAACCUUACCAAGGCUUGACAUGCACCGGAACGCUGCCAGAAAUGGGUGGUUCCCCCAAGGUCGGUGCCACAGGUGGGUGCAUGGUUUGUCCUCCAGCUCCGUGUCCUGGAAAUGUUGGGGUAAAGUCCCCGCAAACGAGGCGCAACCCUUUGUCCCUAUGGUUGCCAAGCGGGGUAAUGCCCGGGGAACUCAUGGGGAAAACUGCCUGGGGUUCAACUUCGGAAGGAAGGGCGGGGGAAAGAACGUCAAAAUCAUGCAGUGCCUCCUUAAGGCCCUGUUGUGUUUCCACGAAUGGGCUCACAAU